This 90-nucleotide transfer RNA is filed under the name Limibacillus halophilus. RNAcentral's name for it is "tRNA-Ser". It matches the Rfam family "tRNA". Rfam says of the family: Transfer RNA (tRNA) molecules are approximately 80 nucleotides in length. Their secondary structure includes four short double-helical elements and three loops (D, anti-codon, and T loops). Further hydrogen bonds mediate the characteristic L-shaped molecular structure. tRNAs have two regions of fundamental functional importance: the anti-codon, which is responsible for specific mRNA codon recognition, and the 3' end, to which the tRNAs corresponding amino acid is attached (by aminoacyl-tRNA synthetases). tRNAs cope with the degeneracy of the genetic code in two manners: having more than one tRNA (with a specific anti-codon) for a particular amino acid; and 'wobble' base-pairing, i.e. permitting non-standard base-pairing at the 3rd anti-codon position. The record is from RNAcentral. RNAcentral also lists the same sequence under 1 other name. Lineage: Bacteria; Pseudomonadati; Pseudomonadota; Alphaproteobacteria; Rhodospirillales; Rhodovibrionaceae.
GGAGAGGUGGCCGAGAGGCUGAAGGCGCACGCUUGGAAAGCGUGUAGGCGGGAAACCGUCUCGUGGGUUCGAAUCCCACCCUCUCCGCCA